RNAcentral lists this ribosomal RNA (434 nucleotides) under uncultured bacterium. RNAcentral's name for it is "bacterial SSU rRNA". It matches the Rfam family "Bacterial small subunit ribosomal RNA", at positions 855 to 1290 of the family's 1533-position model. The record is from RNAcentral.
AAGCAAUAAGUAAUCCACCUGGAGAGUACGAUCGCAAGAUUGAAACUCAAAGGAAUUGACGGGGGCCCGCACAAGCGGAGGAGCAUGUGGUUUAAUUCGAUGAUACGCGAGGAACCUUACCUGGGCUCGAACGUGAGAUGACUAUGGGUGAAAGCUCAUAUCUCUUCGGAGCAUUUUACGAGGUGCUGCAUGGUUGUCGUCAGCUCGUGCCGUGAGGUGUCGGGUUAAGUCCCAUAACGAGCGCAACCCCUACCUUUAGUUGCCAACAGGUCAUGCUGGGGACUCUAAAGGAACUGCCUACGCAAGUAGUGAGGAAGGCGGGGAUGACGUCAAAUCAGCACGGCCCUUACGUCCAGGGCUACACGCGUGCUACAAUGGCCGAUACAGAGGGCAGCUACCUGGUGACAGGAUGCAAAUCUCGAAAGUCGGUCUCA